Long non-coding RNA from Mesoplodon densirostris (Blainville's beaked whale), 1043 nucleotides. RefSeq lists it as uncharacterized. The record is from RefSeq and is a predicted model, not a curated record. The transcript is spliced from 3 exons. Lineage: Eukaryota; Metazoa; Chordata; Mammalia; Artiodactyla; Ziphiidae.
AUGGUUCUCACCCUUGAGGAGAUGAUAGACUGGUACUGGAGAGAAACGACAUAGAAGUAACCAAACCAAAUUUAUGAUUUUUACAGUUUCUGUUCUUCUGAGGAAGACACCUUCCGAGGAGAUGUCAGCUAGGCUGAGAUCUGAAAGAUGAGAAAGUUUUAAUCAUAUAAGCGACAAGAGGAGGGGAAUUCCAGACAGAGAGCCUCCUGAAAACCCAGCGGGGGGAUGGUGACCUUCUGAGGAAGUGGAAAGGCAGAGUGUCCUCGUGAGUCAUUGUGGACCCGGUGGAAACGGCCGGAGGUGGAGUCAGAAAGCAGUGAAACAGCCUUUGAUGCCGCACCAGAGGUGGGAUGUCAGCCUAGAAGGCGGGGCCUUGUUGGAAGCACUGAAGUCCCCCUUUCCGUCCUGCGCAGUUACAUCUACUCCCGACACGUCCAGGCCAGCCUAACUUCGGCCGCGGGGCUUGUCCUUUUGGUGUGACGUAAAAAGAGACCAUUCGUGGAUUCAGGAUCAAUAGUCACCCUGAAAAGACAGAUCACUUAGGUUGAAAUAAGUGUUUUUUAAGCCUGUGUGGGAAGAAAAUGUGUAAAGAGAGUUCACGGCAUCCUCCUCUUCUGAAAAACAUGAGGAACCCCAACCUGUUAGCAGCGUCCUGUAUGCUGGAAAACAAACAUGUGCCAAAGUGUACAAAAGGCUCAAACCUGGAAACCACCCGAUGUGCUUCCGCAGGAGAGUGGAUAAAUAAACGAGGGUAAGUUCACAUAAAAGAGAAUAAUACAGCACAGACGGCCAGGCACUGAGCGGCGUGUAACACCAGUGGCAAUAUAAUGUGAAAGUAAAAGGUUAAGAAGAGGCAAAAUAUUUCCAUUUCCAUUUGAGGGGUGUACAGACCAUGAAGCCACAGCAAAACAGAAGUAAGGGGUUCCGGAUGGUGUUUAUGUUAGGCUGCCCGGGGGCAGUGAUAGGAUGGAGACGGAGGAACCGCAGUUUUGGAUGCAGAUGACUGGCCUCAUUUGAGCUCCAUUUGCACGGUAGGGAUCUGC